AGGGGUGUAGCUCAAUUGGUAGAGCAGCCGUCUCCAAAACGGCAGGUUGAGCGUUCGAGUCGCUCCGCCCCUG
Molecule: transfer RNA, 73 nt
Filed under: Gemmataceae bacterium
Lineage: Bacteria; Pseudomonadati; Planctomycetota; Planctomycetia; Gemmatales; Gemmataceae
Description: tRNA-Trp
Rfam family: tRNA
About the family: Transfer RNA (tRNA) molecules are approximately 80 nucleotides in length.
Source: RNAcentral